RNAcentral lists this ribosomal RNA (494 nucleotides) under uncultured bacterium. Its description in RNAcentral is "partial 16S ribosomal RNA". It matches the Rfam family "Bacterial small subunit ribosomal RNA", at positions 28 to 507 of the family's 1533-position model. The record is from RNAcentral.
GACGAACGCUGGCGGCGUGCUUAACACAUGCAAGUCGAACGGAAAGGCCUGCUUUCCCUUGUGGAUUGCGGGUACUCGAGUGGCGAACGGGUGAGUAACACGUGAGUGAUCUGCCCCCAACUUGGGUAUAGGCCUGGGAAACUGGGUCUAAUUCCCGAUAGGACUGCAGGGUGGUGCCUGUGGUGGAAAACGAUUUUCUAGUGGUUGGGGAUGAGCUCGCGGCCUAUCAGCUUGUUGGUGGGGUAAUGGCCUACCAAGGCGGCGACGGGUAGCCGGCCUGGGAGGGUGGACGGCCACAUUGGGACUGAGAUACGGCCCAGACUCCUACGGGAGGCAGCAGUGGGGAAUAUUGCACAAUGGGCGGAAGCCUGAUGCAGCGACGCCGCGUGGGGGAUGACGGCCUUCGGGUUGUAAACUCCUUUCGACCGCGAGGAAGCCACCUGGUUGGAAGGGUGGUGACGGUAGUGGUAGAAGAAGCACCGGCUAACUACGUG